GGCAACCUGAUGGGGUCCCUUUUCAAGCUGUGGAACCUUUGUUCUUUCUCUGUUUGCAAUAAAUCUUGCCACUGCUCACUCUUUGGGUCCACACUGCUUUUAUGAGCUGUAACACUCACCGCGAAGGUCCGCAGCUUCACUCCUGAAGCCAGCGAGACCACGAGCCUACUGGGAGGAACGAACAACUCCCGACGCGCCGCCUUAAGAGCUGUAACACUCACCGCGAAGGUCUGCAGCUUCACUCCUGAGCCAGCGAGACCACGAACCCACCAGAAGGAAAAAACUCCGAACACAUCUGAACAUCAGAAGCAACAAACUCCGGACACGCCGCCUUUAAGAACUGUAACACUCACUGCGAGGGUCCGCGGCUUCAUUCUUGAAGUGAGUGAGACCAAGAACCCACCAGUUCUGGACACAAUUUCAAGUCCUCAGGUGCCAUCAAUAUUCUGAAAAUGGCAGUGAUUUUUAUUCAACCUGUAUAAGGCACUUUCACCAUGUACCUGGAAGCAACAUCUACAUCUUUUUCAGUUUCUUCUACGCCAGGUGUGUGCUUAGCUCCAUGACAAAAGGUGACAGCUUAUUCUGCAGCACACACACAUCAU
This 602-nucleotide long non-coding RNA is filed under the name Homo sapiens (human). RNAcentral describes it as "HSALNT0307638". Lineage: Eukaryota; Metazoa; Chordata; Mammalia; Primates; Hominidae. The record is from RNAcentral.